RNAcentral lists this ribosomal RNA (346 nucleotides) under unidentified activated sludge bacterium AI563. Its description in RNAcentral is "bacterial SSU rRNA". It matches the Rfam family "Bacterial small subunit ribosomal RNA", at positions 966 to 1312 of the family's 1533-position model. The record is from RNAcentral.
AAACCUUACCCACCUUUGACAUGUACGGAAUCCUUUAGAGAUAGAGGAGUGCUCGAAAGAGAGCCGUAACACAGGUGCUGCAUGGCUGUCGUCAGCUCGUGUCGUGAGAUGUUGGGUUAAGUCCCGCAACGAGCGCAACCCUUGUCAUUAGUUGCUACAUUCAGUUGGGCACUCUAAUGAGACUGCCGGUGACAAACCGGAGGAAGGUGGGGAUGACGUCAAGUCCUCAUGGCCCUUAUAGGUGGGGCUACACACGUCAUACAAUGGCUGGUACAGAGGGUUGCCAACCCGCGAGGGGGAGCCAAUCCCAUAAAGCCAGUCGUAGUCCGGAUCGCAGUCUGCAACU